GACGAACGCUGGCGGCGUGCCUAAUACAUGCAAGUAGAACGCACAGUUUAUACCGUAGCUUGCUACACCAUAAACUGUGAGUUGCGAACGGGUGAGUAACGCGUAGGUAACCUGCCUGGUAGCGGGGGAUAACUAUUGGAAACGAUAGCUAAUACCGCAUAAUAUUAAUUAUUGCAUGAUAAUUGAUUGAAAGAUGCAAUUGCAUCACUACCAGAUGGACCUGCGUUGUAUUAGCUAGUAGGUGAGGUAACGGCUCACCUAGGCGACGAUACAUAGCCGACCUGAGAGGGUGAUCGGCCACAAUGGGACUGAGACACGGCCCAGACUCCUACGGGAGGCAGCAGUAGGGAAUCUUCGGCAAUGGACGAAAGUCUGACCGAGCAACGCCGCGUGAGUGAAGAAGGGUUUCGGAUCGUAAAGCUCUGUUGUAAGAGAAGAACGGGUGUGAGAGUGGAAAGUUCACACUGUGACGGUAUCUUAACAGAAAGGGACGGCUAACUACGUG
Molecule: ribosomal RNA, 505 nt
Filed under: uncultured bacterium
Lineage: Bacteria
Description: partial 16S ribosomal RNA
Rfam family: Bacterial small subunit ribosomal RNA
Source: RNAcentral